AUUGGCUCCCAUACGAUCAUCGAAGUUAAACAAAGUCAAGCCUGAUCAGUACUUAGAAGGGUGACCGCUUGUGCAUACUAGGUGCUGUAA
This is a non-coding RNA of Acanthosepion pharaonis, 90 nucleotides long. Lineage: Eukaryota; Metazoa; Mollusca; Cephalopoda; Sepiida; Sepiidae. The record is from the annotation of a GenBank genome assembly.